This is a non-coding RNA of Salvia hispanica, 607 nucleotides long. The record is from RefSeq and is a predicted model, not a curated record. Lineage: Eukaryota; Viridiplantae; Streptophyta; Magnoliopsida; Lamiales; Lamiaceae.
ACGAGUGAGAGAGAGAGAGAGUUCUGGAUCGGCUAGUGAAAUUGAGCCUUCUUCCCAAAGGAAUCAUCCAUCACACCAGAUGGCAGUAACAUAACCCAAGGUUUCACAAGCGGGGAGGUUCCUCACCACAGCCUGAUCAGCUAUCAUCCUGUCAUGCUAGAAUCAUCCACCUGCAGAGAAUGGCCUUCGAUAGCAGGGACUUGAUCUCCGAUCUUCAAGCAUACAAUGUCGCCUACAACGACUUCGUAGAUUGAGACCUCCUGCCCUGUUCCGUUUCUAACAACUUGUACUGAUAUAUUGUUGCUUAGUUUGGGGAGCUUGUCCCACAGCCUGAACUGCAUGAAGUUUUUGAAGGCGGAGAAGGCGAUGACGAGGAAGAUGGCGAUGAGUGUGUCCAAGCCUUCAUUGAGGCCGUGGUUUUUGAUCCCAAGGCCUAGAGAGAGAGCGGCUAAUACUAGUAGGAGUGGGAUGUUCUACUUUGCAUGGUGAGUUUGCCUUCAUCAUGAAUUAAUUAAGAGGCUUUGGUUGUGAUUCAGUACAUGAUAUCAACCUACAUAUAUAGAGAUGAUUUGGUUCAUAUAUUUGUUCACUGCAAUAUUUUAUUCAA